UUGGUUAGAGCGUGGUGCUAAUAACGCCAAGGUCGCGGGUUCGAUCCCCUGGCGGAUGGUAACACGGAAGUGAACGCGGUGGCCUCCAACGGGAAGCUUGACGUGGGCGGUCAGGCGGCGACAGCGACUGCGACCCGACGCGGGACCUCUCCCCACACCGCCCAGGCGCAGGGACAGCCGUCACCUGCAACCCGACAAUCCGCGACAGGAAGGAACCAUUCAUGCUCUGAAGCAAGCUAUUUACACUGAUGAAAACAAGGAAAACUGGAUCAUCCCAGAAAUGAAAUCAGAAGAUAGGAGUGUGCUACACCACCAGGUCAGGGACUCGUAUUGUGUUGGCAGUGGAAUGAAAAUAUAUGGUGAGAACAGGAUUGCCUUCAUGGUUAGGGGCAGCAGGCAAAGGUCAGUUUUCCUAGCAGAAGGAGGUCACUAGUGAACUUUAUGGAAUUCAUGACAGGGUCUGUGCUACUCAGUGUUACCUAAAAGCAACAUGACAAUGGGGGUAAACAGUAAGUGACUGAAUUUGCUGAUACUGCAAGAGUAAGCAAGAUGGGUUAAAACAAAACAAAAAAAAAAGCAGUUGAAAACAGUUAGUAUUGAGCCAAGCAACCGAACAGUAAAAUGGCAGGUGAAAUUCACUGCUGAUUGGUGUGAAGGGAUGGACACAGAAAAAGUUGCAAACAGAUUGAGUUAAAUUUGAGUUCAGUUUUACUGCCCAGAAAAGACUGUGGCAUUGUAACAGUUCUAUGAAAAAGCCAGCUUAAUGCUGAGCAGCAGACAAAACUAGCAAACGGAGUAUUAGGAUUACGAAAGGAAUAAUGAAUUAAAACUUCAUUAUGCCACUGUAUGAUCUUGGAUACACAUACGUAUCUUAUGGUGUUGGU
Empidonax traillii (willow flycatcher) is the source of this 884-nucleotide long non-coding RNA. RefSeq lists it as uncharacterized. The record is from RefSeq and is a predicted model, not a curated record. NCBI's taxonomy places the organism in Eukaryota, Metazoa, Chordata, Aves, Passeriformes, Tyrannidae. The transcript is spliced from 3 exons.